Molecule: ribosomal RNA, 493 nt
Filed under: uncultured bacterium
Lineage: Bacteria
Description: partial 16S ribosomal RNA
Rfam family: Bacterial small subunit ribosomal RNA
Source: RNAcentral
GACGAACGCUGGCGGCGUGCUUAACACAUGCAAGUCGAACGGUGAAGGGACCGGUUUUUGCUGGUUCUGGAUGAGUGGCGAACGGGUGAGUAACACGUGAGUAACCUGCCCCCUUCUUCUGGAUAACCGCAUGAAAGUGUGGCUAAUACGGGAUAUUCUGCGCCUGCUGCAUGGUGGGUGUGGGAAAGAUAUUGUUUCGGUGGGGGAUGGGCUCGCGGCCUAUCAGCUUGUUGGUGGGGUGAUGGCCUACCAAGGCGGUGACGGGUAGCCGGCCUGCGAGGGUGGACGGUCACACUGGGACUGAGACACGGCCCAGACUCCUACGGGAGGCAGCAGUGGGGAAUAUUGCACAAUGGGCGCAAGCCUGAUGCAGCGACGCCGCGUGAGGGAUGGAGGCCUUCGGGUUGUAAACCUCUUUCGCCAGUGAAGCAGGCCUGUCCCUUUUGUGGGUGGGUUGACGGUAGCUGGAUAAGAAGCGCCGGCUAACUACGUG